Oncorhynchus gorbuscha (pink salmon) is the source of this 2326-nucleotide RNA transcript. It is a transcript of the gene named protein transport protein SEC31-like, with no coding region annotated. The transcript is spliced from 3 exons. The record is from RefSeq and is a predicted model, not a curated record. Lineage: Eukaryota; Metazoa; Chordata; Actinopteri; Salmoniformes; Salmonidae.
GGGGGAGAGGACGGUGCGGUGGGGCAGCUGUCUCUACAGAAGCACUCUCUUGUUCCCACCCGUAUAAGGUCUCAGUUCCUGGCAAGGCUGUUUGGUUGGCGUGGGUGGAGGGAUCGGGUAACCAGGUGAGCAGCUGAACAGGAGACCACAGCAGCUCAACAGGAGACCACAGCAGCUCAACAGGAGACCACAGCAGCUCAACAGGACACCACAGCAGCUCAACAGGACACCACAGCAGCUCAACAGGAGACCACAGCAGCUCAACAGGAGACCACAGCAGCUCAACAGGAGACCACAGCAGCUCAACAGGACACCACAGCAGCUCAACAGGACACCACAGCAGCUCAACAGGAGACCACAGCAGCUCAACAGGAGACCACAGCAGCUCAACAGGAGACCACAGCAGCUCAACAGGAGACCACAGCAGCUCAACAGGACACCACAGCAGCUGAACAGGAGACCACAGCAGCUCAACAGGAGACCACAGCAGCUCAACAGGAGACCACAGCAGCUCAACAGGAGACCACAGCAGCUCAACAGGAGACCACAGCAGCUCAACGGGUGUCGUGGAAUUAUUGUAAUCAGAAGGAGAGACUUUUACAUUUCCUCAAAACAAGUAACUUUAUUAUGUAAUUACUGCAGUAAUGGAGCUGGUUGGUAACCACCCCUGGAGACCACAGCAGUAAACACAAGAAGCAGAGAGCUGCAGCUCAGACAGUAAUGGAGCUGGUUGGUAACCACCCCUGGAGGAGACUACAGCAGGUUGACAGGAAGCUACACAGCAGGUCAACAGGAAGCUACACAGCAGAUCAACAGACCACAGCAGCUCAACAGGAAGCUACACAGCAGCUCAACAGGAAGCUACACAGCAGCUCAACAGGAGACUACAGCAGCUCAACAGGAGACUACAGCAGCUCAACAGGAGACUACACAGCAGAUCAACAGGAGACUACAGCAGCUCAACAGGAGACUACAGCAGCUCAACAGGAAGCUACACAGCAGAUCAACAGGAGACAACAGCAGCUUAACAGGAAGCUACACAGCAGAUCAACAGGAAGUUACACAGCAGGUCAACAGGAAGCUACACAGCAGAUCAACAGGAGACAACAGCAGCUAAACAGGAAGCUACACAGCAGAUCAACAGGAGACAACAGCAGCUAAACAGGAAGCUACACAGCAGAUCAUCAGGACACCACAGCAGCUCAACAGGAGACCACAGCUGCUCAACUGGAGACCACAGCUGCUCAACUGGAGACCACAUAAUCUCAACAGGAGACCACAGCAGAACCAGGGGGUUCUGGCGAUCAACAUGGCUCCACCAAAUACUCCACCAGCGUGUCUAAGUGUUUCUGCCUGUGUAUGCAUGUGCCUGUGUGUGUCUGAGUCAGUCUGUGUGUGUGUGUGUGUGUGUGUGUGUGUGUGUGCCUGUGUGUGUGUGCCUGUCUAUGUCUGUGGUGGGGGAGUAGGAUAACGUGCUGUGUCAACACACAGACACACACACGCACACGCACACGCACACCAACCAGACAGCCGGGGUAGAAGAAUAAACACAGACACACCCUCAGGAAAACCGCCCCCUCACAUCCUCAUCCUCCUCCCAGAUCGUGUGUCACGCUCCCCGUUCGUUGCCCUGGGUGAGGACAGAAUAACUAACAGACCAAGGGUUUUGUUGUAGCUAAGACUAGCUACUGUGAAAUGUGUUUUGAUAGGGCCUGUGGGCAAUCUGGGCAUCUACAGUGAAACGUAGCCGUGGGUGGGGGAGGCAUUGGAAUAACAUUGUUACUGCUGUCCGGUAACACUGGGCGUGCAUCCCAAAUGGAACUCUAUUCCCAUUUAUACUGCAUUACUUCGGGCUUUGGUCAAAAGUAGUGCACUUGAUAGGAAGUAGGGUGCUAUUUGGGGCGUAGCACUGGAUUAGGAUACCGUUAAGAAGUAGGAAAGGUUAUGCUGCUGCUACUGUUUAUUUUGGUGAAAGGAGAAGUCUGAGGGGAAUAUGAGAAAGCAGGCAGAAAGGGUGUAUUCUGUAGUACAUGUGAAAACUACUAUAAAUCUACUAUAAAUCUACUAUAAAUCUACUAUAAAUCUUUCCUGCACCACUAUAUCAAAACAUGCCAUCAAAUGUACUUGUCUCUUUAGUUUUUCCACUGCGUCUCUUUCAUUUCGUUGUAGACAUACAUCAUGAAGUCACAUGCUCUUUAACAUCCUCAAGUAGAAGUGCGGAGGGGGAAUGGGGGCCAUGUAUGAGACAGGGUCCCCCUGCCCCUCCCUGGGAGUGUAGACAGGACCUCCCCCCUCCAUCCAUUGUGGACCUCCCCCACACCUUCAU